RNAcentral lists this ribosomal RNA (421 nucleotides) under uncultured eukaryote. RNAcentral describes it as "SSU rRNA". It matches the Rfam family "Eukaryotic small subunit ribosomal RNA", at positions 592 to 1016 of the family's 1831-position model. The record is from RNAcentral.
CAAUAGCGUAUAUUUAAGUUGUUGCAGUUAAAAGCUCGUAGUUGGAUUUCGGAUGUGAACGACCGGUCCGCCGUUGCGGUGUGCACUGGACGUUCGUAUCUUGUUGUCGGGGACGCGCUCCUGGCCUUAACUGGUCGGGACGCGGAGUCGGCGCUGUUACUUUGAAAAAUUAGAGUGUUCAAAGCAGGCAACCGCUCUGAAUACAUUAGCAUGGAAUAACGCUAUAGGACUCUGGUCCUAUUGUGUUGGUCUUCGGGACCGGAGUAAUGAUUAAGAGGGACAGUUGGGGCAGUUCGUAUUUCAUUGUCAGAGGUGAAAUUCUUGGAUUUCUGAAAUGAACGAACUACUGCGAAGCAAUUUACCAAUGGAUGUUUCUAUUAAUCAAGAACGAAAGUUAGGGGAUCGAAGACGAUCAGAUACC